This 543-nucleotide ribosomal RNA is filed under the name Triticum aestivum (bread wheat). RNAcentral's name for it is "partial small subunit ribosomal RNA". The record is from RNAcentral. Lineage: Eukaryota; Viridiplantae; Streptophyta; Magnoliopsida; Poales; Poaceae.
AUGGCAACUAUGGUUGGACCACACCUGGAAACUAGAUGGCUGUUUUGUACUGUCACCAACGUAGUGUUUCUACUUAACUAUUUUGGUCUGACGCGACAUAUGCAUGUGAGUACAGCUUCGGCGUUGGGGAUGCGGACGCCGGUGGCCUACAAGGCGCGGCAGCGGGCGUCGCAGGAGGCGCUCGCGCGCAGCAUGAACUUCGCCGUCAGCGGUGUCGGGGUGCUCGACACCGGCAACUUCCAGCGCAACAUCAGCCCGCAGAUCGACCUCUUCCAGGCCAUGCACCACAGCCAGCAGCGGGACUGCAGCAAGCGUACUGUGCUCGUCGUCGUCUCGGGCAAUGACUACGCCUACGCUGCCGACAAGGACAACGGCACCAGCGCGGCGAUCGCUUACAUCCCGACGGUGGUGCGGGAGCUCCGGGAGCAGCUCCGGCGGCUGCGCAACGAGGUGGGGAUGCGCAGGGUGGUGCUGCGACCUGCUGGCCAACGCCGGCGCUGCCCAGCACAACGCUGCGCUCCGGUCGGUCCUCGGCACUGUUGA